Molecule: non-coding RNA, 72 nt
Organism: Pangasius djambal
Lineage: Eukaryota; Metazoa; Chordata; Actinopteri; Siluriformes; Pangasiidae
Source: the annotation of a GenBank genome assembly
UCGCUGGGGGACUAGUGGUUAGGCCACAGCGUUCUCAUUGCUGCGGCCCGGGUUCGAUUCCUGGCCAGGGAA